CUAGAGAUAGGCUGGGACCAAACGCGAAUCUUUUUGAUGAGGGUUUGAUCCUGGCUCAGGACGAACGCUGGCGGCGCGCCUUACGCAUGCAAGUCGUACGCCGGGCUUCGGCCCGGAGUGGCAGACGGCUGAGUAACGCGUAGGUAACCUGUCCCACAGCGGGGAAUAACCCGUCGAAAGACGGGCUAAUACCCCAUUCGCUCCUGGGGUGAAACUCCCCUGGAGGAAAGCCGUAAGGCACUGAGGGAGGGGCCUGCGUCCUAUCAGGUAGUUGGCGAGGUAAUGGCUCACCAAGCCGGCGACGGGUAGCUGGUCUGAGAGGACGACCAGCCAGACGGG
This 339-nucleotide ribosomal RNA is filed under the name uncultured Nitrosomonadales bacterium. RNAcentral describes it as "bacterial SSU rRNA". It matches the Rfam family "Bacterial small subunit ribosomal RNA", at positions 1 to 316 of the family's 1533-position model. The record is from RNAcentral. Lineage: Bacteria; Pseudomonadati; Pseudomonadota; Betaproteobacteria; Nitrosomonadales.